UAAAGUGGAUUUUGUCUUAUUUAAAAUUUGAUUAUGGUUUUGGAAGAGUUUAAAAUGAUAUUAUUUAAGUGUAAUUUAUGUAGAUGGGCAAUGAUUUUUUACCCUCUCAAUUUAUUAUUUGUAAAAAAUUGGUUCCAGAAUAAUCGGCUAUGCUAGUUAUGUUUAUACUUUAUUUUUGUUAGAGAUACAUAUUUUUAGAAGGAAAUUUUUAUAUUUGAGGUUAAAUUUAAAUUAUUUUUAUGUUUGAGUUGUAUUUUUUAAAUUUUGUUUAUCGAAUUAGAUUAGUACCUAAUUAGUCAAAAGUUAAUAUUUUCAGGAGUAAAGUAGUAUUUAAACUGAAAGAAUAUUGGCAGAUUUUCUAAAUUAUCUUUGGAGGCUGAGUGAUAAUUGAGAACCCUCAUUAACUAUUUUUUUUUUUAGCUCAUGUAUGAUCGUUUAUUUUUUAUUUGAGAUAAAAAAUUUUAAUUUUUUAUUUGUAAAAAUAGAUAUAUAUUUGGUUUAUGAAUUUAGUUUUAUUUGGCCUACAUUAUUUUGUGAUGUGGAUUAAUAAUUUAGUUUUUUUAUGAAAAUGUAAAAGACAGUAAAUUAAAUUUUAUGUUUUUUUGAAGAUUACUUAGAAGUGGUACAAAUCAUCCAUCAAUUGCCUAUAGGGGAGUAAGUUGUAGUAAAGUAGGUUUAGGGGAACCUGAACCUAGUAUAU
This 700-nucleotide non-coding RNA is filed under the name Metastrongylus pudendotectus. Lineage: Eukaryota; Metazoa; Nematoda; Chromadorea; Rhabditida; Metastrongylidae. The record is from RNAcentral.